AACCCUGGGAGGAUGGAAUCAGGGCACUUCCUCUCUGUCUUUACAGGACACUGGGCUGAACCUUAAGAAAUCCCUGGCUUUCCCCUGGAUCCUGACCACUGCAUGGCCAGAUGUUGACCAUCCUGACUCUGCAGAGACCAGACCUGGCCCUCGUCUUCCAGCCCUGUGCCUGGUGUGUUUUCUCAGCACCUCAGUGAGACAACAAAGAACCAAGCCUGCCAGAACCAAGGGUCGCCUCUGUUUGGUGUCCCCUACAACGAG
Molecule: long non-coding RNA, 261 nt
Filed under: Capra hircus (goat)
Lineage: Eukaryota; Metazoa; Chordata; Mammalia; Artiodactyla; Bovidae
Description: lncRNA (ENSCHIG00000001252.1)
Source: RNAcentral